AUCGAACGCUGGCGGCAGGCCUAACACAUGCAAGUAGAACGAGUGGCGGACGGGUGAGUAAUGUCUGGGAAACUGCCUGAUGGAGGGGUAUAACUACGGGAAACGGUAGCUAAUAACGCAUACAAUCAGAUGUGCCCAAAUGGGAUUAGCUUGUUGGUGGGGUAACGGUUCCCCAAGGCGCCGAUCCCUAGCUGGUCUGAGAGGAUGACCAGCCACACUGGAACUGCGACACGGUCCAGACUCCUACGGGAGGCAGGAGUGGGGAAUAUUGCACAAUGGGCGCAAGCCUGAUGCAGCCAUGCCGCGUGUAUGAAGAAGGCCUUCGGGUUGUAAAGUACUUUCGGCGGGGAGGCGUUACCCGCAGAAGAAGCACCGGCUAACUCCGUGCCAGCAGCCGCGGUAAUAC
This 406-nucleotide ribosomal RNA is filed under the name uncultured bacterium. RNAcentral's name for it is "partial 16S ribosomal RNA". It matches the Rfam family "Bacterial small subunit ribosomal RNA", at positions 30 to 526 of the family's 1533-position model. The record is from RNAcentral.